Molecule: ribosomal RNA, 564 nt
Filed under: uncultured cyanobacterium
Lineage: Bacteria; Bacillati; Cyanobacteriota
Description: bacterial SSU rRNA
Rfam family: Bacterial small subunit ribosomal RNA
Source: RNAcentral
CCUACGGGAGGCAGCAGUGGGGAAUUUUCCGCAAUGGGCGAAAGCCUGACGGAGCAACGCCGCGUGAGGGAUGAAGGCCUCUGGGCUGUAAACCUCUUUUAUCAAGGAAGAAGAUCUGACGGUACUUGAUGAAUAAGCCACGGCUAAUUCCGUGCCAGCAGCCGCGGUAAUACGGGAGUGGCAAGCGUUAUCCGGAAUUAUUGGGCGUAAAGCGUCCGCAGGCGGUCUGUCAAGUCUGCUGUUAAAGCGUGGAGCUUAACUCCAUUUCGGCAGUGGAAACUGACAGACUAGAGUGUGGUAGGGGCAGAGGGAAUUCCCGGUGUAGCGGUGAAAUGCGUAGAUAUCGGGAAGAACACCAGUGGCGAAGGCGCUCUGCUGGGCCAUAACUGACGCUCAUGGACGAAAGCCAAGGGAGCGAAAGGGAUUAGAUACCCCUGUAGUCCUGGCCGUAAACGAUGAACACUAGGUGUCGGGGGAAUCGACCCCCUCGGUGUCGUAGCCAACGCGUUAAGUGUUCCGCCUGGGGAGUACGCACGCAAGUGUGAAACUCAAAGGAAUUGACGG